RNAcentral lists this ribosomal RNA (468 nucleotides) under uncultured bacterium. RNAcentral's name for it is "partial 16S ribosomal RNA". It matches the Rfam family "Bacterial small subunit ribosomal RNA", at positions 28 to 507 of the family's 1533-position model. The record is from RNAcentral.
GACGAACGCUGGCGGCGUGCUUAACACAUGCAAGUCGAACGGAAAGGCCCUGCUUUUGUGGGGUGCUCGAGUGGCGAACGGGUGAGUAACACGUGAGUAACCUGCCCCUGACUUUGGGAUAACUUCAGGAAACUGGGGCUAAUACCGGAUAGGAGCUCCUGCUGCACGGGGGGGGUUGGAAAGUUUCGGCGGUGGGGGAUGGACUCGCGGCUUAUCAGCUUGUUGGUCGGGUAGGUGCGUACCAAGGCUUUGACGGGUAGCCGGCCUGGGAGGGUGGCCGGCCACAUUGGUACUGCGGUACGGCCCAGACUGCUACGGGCCGCAGCAGUGGGGAAUAUUGCACAAUGGGCGGAAGCCUGAUGCAGCAGCGCCGCGUGCGGAAUGCCGGCCUUCGGGUUAUAAACCGCUUUCGCCUGUGACGAAGCGUGAGUGACGGUAAUGGGUAAAGAAGCACCGGCUAACUACGUG